UAAUUCAUAGUAUAAUAUAGCGUUUUAUUUUCAUUAGAAAAUAAUAAGUAGUCAUAUUCAUAUAUAAUAAAAAAAUGUGUGUGUCAGAGUUUGUAUCUAACGCUCAAUAUUGAUGUGUAACUAACACGAUAAAAGAAGCUAAAACUAAAUAUUAUAAAUCUGAACUAGAAAUGCCGGAAAUGACUAGAAACUAAACUGGAAAAUUAUUAAAAACUCGACUAACCGUUCUAAAACAAAUUCCUUUAUUCAAACUCUUAAUAACAAAUUUGGUAAAAAACUGCACUCCACAGAUAAUUCAAAAGAAAUAUCGAAUUAUUUUAUCGAGUACUUUAUAAAUGCAGCAUAAAACAUGUAUAACCAAAUAAAACGUAAAGACAAAAUAUACAUAAUGUAUAAUACACAUAUACUAAACAACUAACCUCAAACACUACAAAUAUAUGAUUUAAUAAUUUAGCGUAAUUAAUUAUGAAGAAAUCAUAAAAGCAAUAAAGGCUUUAAAAUGAUUCUUCUCCAGGAUUAGAUAGAAUUUCAGCUAUAGCAACAUCUACUUUUCCGGAAUGCUAUAAAUUUCAGUUAUAACCCCAAUACACAAAAAAAGAGCGAUGAAUCUAUUGAUUUUACUUUGAAGUGUAUUUUCAUCACCUUUAUUCGGGGAAGUGAAAAUGCUUCAAUUUUCCAUUUUGGGAUUAAUGAAAAACUCAAAAACAGGAAUAAACCUAAACUUGACAAAAUUGAUUUAUUUAUGUUGUUAU
This is a long non-coding RNA of Aphis gossypii (cotton aphid), 752 nucleotides long. RefSeq lists it as uncharacterized. The transcript has 3 exons. Lineage: Eukaryota; Metazoa; Arthropoda; Insecta; Hemiptera; Aphididae. The record is from RefSeq and is a predicted model, not a curated record.